AUUGUGGUCACUGAGAAAUGGCAUGGAUUCCAGCUGGUGCAGGGGAUGCAAAGGAAAAUUAAGCUCAUUUUUCAGGAUGAUCUGACAUCAGAUUUUUACCUAUUUAGCAGAUUCUGCAUUCUUUAUGUCACUGAAGAUGAUUCAGUAGCCAGAUAAUAGCUACAUGAAGAGGCUUGGUCAGGUUAGGAAUUCCAGUAAUCUUCAAGGGGUUGUAUUCGUUGAAAAAACUCAUUUGAGUGAGCAAUACUUUCCAGCCAUACAGAAGUUCACUGUGCUUUACCUUGGGAUGGCCAGCCAGAUGGAAGCAUCCUGCCUCACCAUCCGGUGAAUUGAAGAGCAAACCAAAGAGCUCUGGAAAAAUCAUUUCUCAGGAAGAAAGGGGCUCUGUUUUCUGAGCCUUCUUUGAAAUGUGCAGCAGAUUCCAGGAGUUGGAAAAGUUAAAGCCUUCCUUUUGCUUCAGAAGUUUCCAAGUACCCAGGAACUGAGUAAUGAUUCCAUCUGAGAACUCAAGCAGCUUUUUGGACAAGAGGUAGCACAGCAAAUCCUUGCCUUCUUCACACAGUCCAAGUGAU
Molecule: long non-coding RNA, 572 nt
Filed under: Homo sapiens (human)
Lineage: Eukaryota; Metazoa; Chordata; Mammalia; Primates; Hominidae
Description: non-protein coding lnc-RIMKLB-4:1
Source: RNAcentral